CGGAACGUGCCCGAUCGUGGGGGAUAACGGAGCGAAAGCUUUGCUAAUACCGCAUACGAUCUACGGAUGAAAGCAGGGGACCGCAAGGCCUUGCGCGGACGGAGCGGCCGAUGGCAGAUUAGGUAGUUGGUGGGAUAAAAGCUUACCAAGCCGACGAUCUGUAGCUGGUCUGAGAGGACGACCAGCCACACUGGGACUGAGACACGGCCCAGACUCCUACGGGAGGCAGCAGUGGGGAAUUUUGGACAAUGGGCGAAAGCCUGAUCCAGCCAUGCCGCGUGCAGGAUGAAGGCCUUCGGGUUGUAAACUGCUUUUGUACGGAACGAAAAGCCUCUUUCUAAUAAAGAGAGGUCAUGACGGUACCGUAAGAAUAAGCACCGGCUAACUACGUGCCAGCAGCCGCGGUAAUACGUAGGGUGCAAGCGUUAAUCGGAAUUACUGGGCGUAAAGCGUGCGCAGGCGGUGAUGUAAGACAGAUGUGAAAUCCCCGGGCUCAACCUGGGAACUGCAUUUGUGACUGCAUCGCUGGAGUGCGGCAGAGGGGGAUGGAAUUCCGCGU
RNAcentral lists this ribosomal RNA (559 nucleotides) under uncultured bacterium. RNAcentral describes it as "bacterial SSU rRNA". It matches the Rfam family "Bacterial small subunit ribosomal RNA", at positions 119 to 674 of the family's 1533-position model. The record is from RNAcentral.